GGGCUUACUAUUUUUAACAUUUUUAUUUUCUUUUUAGGAUAGUACGAAUAUGAUUAACUAAACAAACUAUUUGAAAUAAUUGAAAAGGGAAAGGAUAACUACCAAGUUUACCUCUUGGCAAGGCGUUCGGUAUUUUUAAGUCCUCCGAACGGGACUCUCCGUUUUCUCAGUCGUCCUGGGGUUCAUUGGAUGGCGGAGUCGGUGCUUCCGGCAGCGCCUCUUCUUCAUGUAUAGUUAUCUUCUUUUUUCACACCUGACUCGGUGCUACGGUCUCGUCAGGAUAAUUUUGUUCAAGCUGUAUGUCUUCAGACCUUAUUACUUCUCCUUCGUAGUCUGCCCAUCCAUCCUUGAUAAUUUCCCUCCUCUGGUUGCGGUUGCGUCGUUUUCUUCUUGUCCUGACCUGCUUAGAGUCUUCAACAAUAUAGUU
RNAcentral lists this long non-coding RNA (427 nucleotides) under Sorghum bicolor (sorghum). RNAcentral describes it as "long non-coding RNA (SBIC_LNC010071)". The record is from RNAcentral. Lineage: Eukaryota; Viridiplantae; Streptophyta; Magnoliopsida; Poales; Poaceae.